Molecule: ribosomal RNA, 882 nt
Filed under: Halococcus sp.
Lineage: Archaea; Methanobacteriati; Methanobacteriota; Halobacteria; Halobacteriales; Halococcaceae
Description: bacterial SSU rRNA
Rfam family: Archaeal small subunit ribosomal RNA
Source: RNAcentral
GAAACGGUCCGCCGCCGGAGGACGUGACUGCGGCCGAUUAGGUAGACGGUGGGGUAACGGCCCACCGUGCCGAUAAUCGGUACGGGUUGUGAGAGCAAGAACCCGGAGACGGUAUCUGAGACAAGAUACCGGGCCCUACGGGGCGCANCAGGCGCGAAACCUUUACACUGCACGCCAGUGCGAUAAGGGGACCCCGAGUGCGAGGGCAUACAGUCCUCGCUUUUCGUGACCGUAAGAAGGUCUCAGAAUAAGAGCUGGGCAAGACCGGUGCCAGCCGCCGCGGUAAUACCGGCAGCUCGAGUGAUAGCCACUAUUAUUGGGCUUAAAGCGUCCGUAGCCGGCCGAACAGGUCCGUCUGGAAAUCCACCCGCUCAACGGGUGGACGUCCGGCGGAAACCAGUCGGCUUGGGGCCGGGAGACCAGAGAGGUACGUCCGGGGUAGGAGUGAAAUCCCGUAAUCCUGGACGGACCGCCGGUAGCGAAAGCGUNUCUGGAGAACGGACCCGACGGUGAGGGACGAAAGCUUGGGUCUCGAACCGGAUUAGAUACCCGGGUAGUCCAAGCUGUAAACGAUGCUCGCUAGGUGUGGCGUUGGCUACGAGCCAGCGCUGUGCCGUAGGGAAGCCGAGAAGCGAGCCGCCUGGGAAGUACGUCCGCAAGGAUGAAACUUAAAGGAAUUGGCGGGGGAGCACUACAACCGGAGGAGCUUGCGGUUUAAUUGGACUCAACGCCGGACAUCUCACCGGCACCGACAGUGUGCAGUGACAGUCAGUCUGAUGGGCUUACUUGAGCCACUGAGAGGAGGUGCAUGGCCGCCGUCAGCUCGUACCGUGAGGCGUCCUGUUAAGUCAGGCAACGAGCGAGACCCGCGUCCCUAAUUGC